RNAcentral lists this ribosomal RNA (253 nucleotides) under uncultured bacterium. RNAcentral describes it as "partial 16S ribosomal RNA". It matches the Rfam family "Bacterial small subunit ribosomal RNA", at positions 524 to 776 of the family's 1533-position model. The record is from RNAcentral.
UACGAAGGGGGCUAGCGUUGCUCGGAAUUAUUGGGCGUAAAGAGCUCGUAGGCGGUCUGUCGCGUCUGCUGUGAAAACCUAGGGCUUAACUCUGGGCGUGCAGUGGGUACGGGCAGGCUAGAGUGCGGUAGGGGAGACUGGAAUUCCUGGUGUAGCGGUGGAAUGCGCAGAUAUCAGGAGGAACACCGGUGGCGAAGGCGGUUCUCUGGGCAUUACCUGACGCUGAGGAGCGAAAGUGUGGGGAGCGAACAGG